This 301-nucleotide ribosomal RNA is filed under the name uncultured bacterium. RNAcentral's name for it is "partial 16S ribosomal RNA". It matches the Rfam family "Bacterial small subunit ribosomal RNA", at positions 509 to 807 of the family's 1533-position model. The record is from RNAcentral.
CAGUAGCCGCGGUAAUACGAAGGGGGCUAGCGUUGUUCGGAAUUACUGGGCGUAAAGCGCACGUAGGCGGAUAUUUAAGUCAGGGGUGAAAUCCCAGAGCUCAACUUUGGAACUGCCUUUGAUACUGGGUAUCUUGAGUAUGGAAGAGGUGAGUGGAAUUCCGAGUGUAGAGGUGAAAUUCGUAGAUAUUCGGAGGAACACCAGUGGCGAAGGCGGCUCACUGGUCCAUUACUGACGCUGAGGUGCGAAAGCGUGGGGAGCAAACAGGAUUAGAUACCCGAGUAGUCCCUGUCUCUUAUAC